This is an unclassified non-coding RNA of Lingula anatina, 843 nucleotides long. The record is from RefSeq and is a predicted model, not a curated record. Lineage: Eukaryota; Metazoa; Brachiopoda; Lingulata; Lingulida; Lingulidae.
CAAUUUUUAAUUAUCUUUUUAAAGCAUUUAUACGUUUCAUGAAUAAUUUACCGAAUAUUUACAGUAUGGCUAUAUGACGCCUAUAAGAGAUGCAGCAGCGACACAGACUGCUACGGCGGCAAAACUAUGUGCUGCGUGCCCAAUCGUUAUGGUAGAUGGUACUGCCGUUCUCGUGGACGCCAAUACUCUAUUUGUUCCAUAAGUGGAAGCGCCAAUCGAUGUCCUUGUAGAGAAGGUUUGGAAUGCAUCAGUGCUCGUGGCAACCAGUGGUUUGGCGGCCUCGCUGCUAUUCUCGUCAACCCAGAUAGCGGUCUGUGCAACACGAUUAAGGUGACCACUGGCGGGUCUGGCGAAUCCGGCGACGGUGACCUUUGAAUCAUGUGACUUUCUGGGAUCAAGGUCAAGUUUAGGACCAAUGAUUGCGCCUAUAGCUAGCCUCUGGACAACGCCCCAAUUUGUGUAUGUAUCAUCAAAGGGACUGCUGUUUAAGCAACUUAUCUAUAUUUUAUGAAUAUCUUUCAUCGAUGAUAGUGAUAGUUUUUUCCCAAUAAAAUUGCAAACGAGGACUAAUGUGUUGGGACUAUGUUGAGUUGUUUUAUGAAUUCAUCUUAAACAGUGCAACACAAAGACUUUAGAAAUAUGGAAUUCGAAUAUACAAUGCAUAGGGAAGUUUGCAUAAAUGAAAAAAAGGUCUAUUUCAUUUUUACCAAUGUUUCAUGAAGGUUUUAAUUUUUUUGAACAGAACAGUGCACUCCAACCGUGAGAUUGUUUCGGUGUUUUUUUUUUUCUUUGUACAUUUUUCAGACUGACAUGGCGUGAAUUUGCACCGCUUUUAUAAUUUAU